Molecule: long non-coding RNA, 326 nt
Organism: Penaeus monodon (black tiger shrimp)
Lineage: Eukaryota; Metazoa; Arthropoda; Malacostraca; Decapoda; Penaeidae
Exons: 2
Source: RefSeq, a predicted model, not a curated record
UGGCUGAGCCAAAAGGGUACACAACUUUUUAUAAAGGAAUAUGAGAAAUUGAAAGACGAAGGUAAUGUCCCAGAGGAGAAGCUUAUGGAAGAAACGGCUUUAGCACUGGAAGCUCAUGGCAUCUACCUUGACCGCUCUCGAGCUCCUCCUAAGCCUGAACCAGAACAACCUUCUGUUGAAACUCAGCCCAGAGAGCCACAGUCUCAACUCUUGACAGACAAAGUACGUCUGUCUGACAUCUUCAAAGAGAGUCAGGAGGAGAAGAAUUAAGCAGGAUUUUGUAAACAGAUGUUGUAAAUAUAUGUAGAUCAUGCAGAAUUGUUAAA